AAGCGGUGGAGCAUGUGGUUUAAUUCGAAGCAACGCGAAGUAACCUUACCAGGUCUUGACAUCCCUGACAACCCAAGAGAUUGGCGUCCCUUCGGGGGACAGGGUGACAGGUGGUGCAUGGUUGUCGUCAGCUCGUGUCGUGAGAUGUUGGGUUAAGUCCCGCAACGAGCGCAACCCUCGCCUCUAGUUGCCAGCAUUCGGUUGGGCACUCUAGAGGGACUGCCGGCGACAAGUCGGAGGAAGUGGGGAUGACGUCAAAUCAUCAUGCCCCUUAUGACCUGGGCUACACACGUGCUACAAUGGGCGGUACAAAGAGAUGCGAAGCGGUGACGUGGAGCGAACCUCAGAAAGUUGGUCUCAGUUCAGAUUGAAGUCUGCAACUCGACUUCAUGAAGGCGGAAUCGCUAGUAAUCGCGGGUCAGCAGACCGCGGUGAAUACGUUCCCGGGUUUU
Molecule: ribosomal RNA, 452 nt
Filed under: uncultured Geobacillus sp.
Lineage: Bacteria; Bacillati; Bacillota; Bacilli; Caryophanales; Anoxybacillaceae
Description: bacterial SSU rRNA
Rfam family: Bacterial small subunit ribosomal RNA
Source: RNAcentral